GAGAGCCGGUAGACCGGCGUGCGGCCGGGCGGAGGCGGGCGGAGGUGGUCGGUCCGCGCCAGGGCCACGCGUUUCCGGUCCCCCGCCUUCCCAGGACAAGUGCUCCCCGAGUACCGGCGGCGCGGAGUGGCGGGUGUGGGCCAGGGGCCCGGAGCGGGGAUGCCGCGGCGGGGCGGAGGCGGUGCUCCCUCCGCGUAGGUCCCCAAGUUUUAACGGUGGUCAGUUAGGAGGUAUAGGAGAAAAUUCGCUCCAAAGAACACGUGGUCACACCCAUCCGUAUUCGUGUCACUAAAGUGAAGUCCGAAUUGGUGUAACCGCGCGCUCCGCGCCGAUAGAGUGGGAAACGUGAUCAAGCCCUUCGCGGAGCCAGCCCGUGGCUCCCGGGACUGGAUUGUUACACGGGGCGGGGCGCGCUGUCGGCCCCAGUCAUGGACUCGGUCUCCCUCCUCCCGGGGCAGAAGGUUAGCGCACCUGCCCUGGGGACACCUGUUUUUGAGGUGAGAGCUGCUGAGAGUGUGGCAUCUGGCCGCAGGCCCCUGGGAUGCGCGCGGCUGGAGUGAACAUCCAAGAAUGUGACCGCGCUGGGGGACGGGGCGGGGGCGCAUCCUUCUCCCGGGAACGUUUCUUUUUCCUAUCGGACCUUGACCCCCGACCCCACCGGCCGCCGCUCUCAUGGCGAUUCUCAGCUCCGCCUGCACGUUAGGAUGAACUGGAGCGCUUUUCAACUCCGCAGAGCUGGACGCUGCCACCGGAAAGGCUCAGCUGGUGCGCGGUGGGGCGGGAGAAUUCCUGUUUUUCAGAGCUUCCCGGAUGAUUCCCGCCGCCAGCCACCGCAUUCGGGACUGGGCUUCAUUCCCUGAUCCUCUCCUGGACCCAGACAACUGAAACGGACCAUGCUUGGGCAUCCUCUCCAGCUCCACAGUUCCCCCAGAUGCUGUCUUUGUUGAUGCCUCUCAUCUCUUUAUAUUGUGCCUACUGUGGAUUUUUAUGAGAUUUCUGAAUAAGAACCCUAAGGAGAACGUGGGUGCAAAUGGCAGAGAUCUCAGGAGCAAGAGUGGCCACUGGCAUGAACAAGAGGCAAAAGGCUCCAUCAUGGCUCAGCAUGGCACUGCUCCCAGCCCACAGACUGAAGCAGACACCUAAUCACAAUUGCUACCUAACCACGACCUUCUUAUCUCAUUGAGGACUCUGAGAGGCA
Balaenoptera ricei (Rice's whale) is the source of this 1198-nucleotide long non-coding RNA. RefSeq lists it as uncharacterized. Lineage: Eukaryota; Metazoa; Chordata; Mammalia; Artiodactyla; Balaenopteridae. The transcript has 7 exons. The record is from RefSeq and is a predicted model, not a curated record.